UCAUCGUGGUCGUUAAUCUCCGAGAUCAAUUGCCCCUAUUCACUCUUACAUUUUUAACCCAAACGACCAUCCUAAUCUUCUCAUUUUCCACCCAUCAGCUGCUAUAAACCCUCCACUCUCUAAAACUCUCUCAAAUCUUAUCAAACCCUAGCCGCCUCUUAUCACCUCCGCCCUGAAAGCCGCCAGAAUCCAUGGCUUUCAAGGUUAUGUGAGUCAUACACUGGCCUCCGAUGGAGUCCACGUGCCUGAUUUAUGAAGAUUUAGGCCUGACCUUGAAGGUUUGUACCCAGAUCUCUGUCUAUACGAGGUUCCACGAUCAUCUACAUCCUUGCUCCAGCAUACCAUGGUUGUUUGAGCCUGGUUCUGACCUCUCCGACUCAUAUCACUGACUUUUCAAAGCCUGUCUCAUUACUACGGUUCUUCUGAAACCCUAACCCAUCGAGGUUUUCUCCGAUUCCUUUAGAUUUGUUCCAGAUCCAUGCUUUUCUUAAGGUCUUAGACGACUUUCCUGACUUUUCUUUCAAAAAAACUACUAUCAAAACCUUUUUCCGUUCUAGGGUUUUUCUAAAAAUGUUUUAAGUAUUUCUGACUUUCUUUUCUCUCGUGUAUAUUUGCCUCUACUGUGGUCUUGUAGUUUCUUCUACCAUGUUCUUACAUGCUUUUUCUGCUGUAUUUUCCUAUACUGCAUUCUGGUAUGCUUUUCUACUAUAUGCUUUCUCUACUGUGUUCUGAUAUGUUUCUCUUGCUAUAUUUUCCUACUAUGUUCUUAAGUGUUUCUUACCAAGUUACAUCUACUGAGCUCUGUUUAAGUUUCUUCGAAAAAUUCUUGACAUACUUCUUCUACUGUUCUUAUCAGUAUUCUCCAUUAUGUUUCAUAUUAGCUUCUUCAACUCUAUUUUUUCUUUGAAUUCUGCUACUACGUUCUGCGUGUUACUUGCUACCAUUAUUUUCUUAUGAGUUUUGUUGCUGAAAGAAACAUGUUAGAAGUUUCAGUUCUUUUUUGAAACCUCUAAACUUGUUUCGAUUUAAUUACUUGCCCUCUCAUCUUUGAUUUGUGAUUUGCCUGAACUAGGGUUUUAUUUCAAAAUCCCCAAACUCUUUCAGACCAACUUCGAGUCUCGAAACUGAGUUUGGGCAUUCUUGUACCGAACUUUUUGCUAAACUCUCAUACACUGGAUUUUUCUAUUGAUUAUGCAAUGGAACAACAUCUUCUCUCAACUCAACGUAUUUAUGUGCUCUUUGUACAUGAUGAACCUUCCUCUGAUAAGGCUUUCAAACUUGUGAUUAAUUCAGAAUUCCUUCUAAAUAGGUUGAUUUUCUUUCCAUUGUUUGCUGAUUUCCCUUAACUUAAAAAACCUUUCCCAUCUUUUUGACUUGGUUCAUUCAUAAAAAUCUCAGACUUUUUGAUUUAAUGGCUAAUGGUUGAUUUUCUUAUCUUAUUUGUACAACCGUGUGCUUCAAAACCCUGUCCUUAAAUAACCUUUUAUGUAUUUUCUCUUAAUUUCAUGCUUUACACAAAGUGUUUAGUUAAUUUUUUUUCUUAAAUAGUUCUUACCCGUUUAAAUCUGAAUCCCUUAAUUAAGGGAAGUCUCGAGUAAUUGAUGCUUAAUUGAGAGUCAAUUCUUUUGAUGUUUCUUUACCUUAUUUCUGUCGGAUUUUUACAUUAUAAAAGGCACGACCCUUUUUUCACACUACACACUUCAAACAAUUCAGAACCUCUUUUGAACUUAUAUUUACUCAAAAUAAUAUUCUCUUCUUGUUUGCACUGUGGCCUGGUUACAAGACCUACUGCUUUUCUUUGUUUUUUCUCUGAAACUAGUAUGUCUGGAUUUAAUUUUUAGCACCACAACAAUGUGUAUUUACUACUUUUAUGUCCAUGUUUGGUUGCUGUUUCUGCCUAUCUCAGCACUUAAAUUGACAUGAUGAUUUCUUUUUGUUUGUUUGUUAUGAACGCCAUUCCCCUAUUACCUUUUGUGUGUUUUGGAGUUAUGGCUUAAAGCAUGGAAAUGUGAGUUGUUUUUCAUGAGUUAAGUUUGAUCCACUAGUAUCUUAACCUCUAAACAAUAUGUUCUAACAGGUUUGAGGGUGCGCCAGCAUCUCUUAUUGUUGGUUAUUCCCACUUGCCUACUUUUUGCCUCUUGCAACUCCCCAUUCCCUAUACCCCUAUGUGUAUUAAUGUGAACUAUUUCCCUUCCCCUUUCCCUCUUUCAAAAUUCUGCACUUGCACUCUCUCUUAGUCUCUAAGUUUUGCCCCCCUUUUGUGAGCCUUGCCUUGCGACCUUGAGUUUCCUCUGAACUUGGACACUUGAGGGCUGUCCCUUUCACACAGCAUUGUGUCUUCAUCUGGUAAUGUAUUUGGGUAUGAGCACUGUCCGGAGUCCAUAUGAGGCUUUUAGGGAAAUUUAACACAUCCAAAUGGGAGAAAGGGUUUGUAUCAUGAUCUCUUGGAGUUGGUUCAUCUCAUAUUUCAGACACAGAGUCUGAAUUAGGUUCUCCGGUUGUGCUUUUAAUUUCUGAUGUAUUUUCCUUUUCUUAUUUCAUUCUGGG
RNAcentral lists this long non-coding RNA (2547 nucleotides) under Nicotiana benthamiana. RNAcentral describes it as "long non-coding RNA (NBEN_LNC019466)". The record is from RNAcentral. Lineage: Eukaryota; Viridiplantae; Streptophyta; Magnoliopsida; Solanales; Solanaceae.